UACGGGGGGUGCGAGCGUUGUCCGGAAUCACUGGGCGUAAAGGGCGCGUAGGUGGCGUCGUAAGUCUGUGGUGAAAGCCCGGAGCUCAACUCCGGGUCUGCCGCGGAUACUGCGAGGCUUGAGUGCUGUAGAGGGGGGUAGAAUGCCGGGUGUAGCGGUGGAAUGCGUAGAGAUCCGGCAGAAGAGCCGGUGGCGAAGGCGGCCCCCUGGCAGUAACUGACACUGAGGCGCGACAGCAUGGGGAGCAAACAGG
RNAcentral lists this ribosomal RNA (253 nucleotides) under uncultured bacterium. RNAcentral describes it as "partial 16S ribosomal RNA". It matches the Rfam family "Bacterial small subunit ribosomal RNA", at positions 524 to 776 of the family's 1533-position model. The record is from RNAcentral.